RNAcentral lists this non-coding RNA (23 nucleotides) under Arabidopsis thaliana (thale cress). Lineage: Eukaryota; Viridiplantae; Streptophyta; Magnoliopsida; Brassicales; Brassicaceae. The record is from RNAcentral.
GUGUAUGUAGUUAAGGUUUUGGU